AUGUGGCAUAAUUUUCAGAAAUAUUUUCAUGGUGAUGUGUUUGGAAGGUUGUGGCCUGCUGCUAGGGCAUAUAGGCCGGAAGAAUAUCAACAUCACAUGUCAAAGGUAUUUGAUGCAUCUGAGAAAGUAUAUCAUUACCUUAGGGAUUACCAUAAUCUAUUAUGGAUGAGGUGUAUGUUCAACCCUGCCAUCAAGUGUGACUUCAUAAAUAACAAUCUCGCCGAGUGCUUCAACGCUUGGGUGCGAGAUAUCAAGGACUUGCCGAUUGUUCAGCUAGCUGACAAGAUUAGAGAGAUGAUUAUGGAACUAUUUAGAAAAAGAAGAAUGAUUGGAGAAAGAUUUACAGGGAUAAUACUUCCAUUUGUCAUACACCAACUAAAUGCAAAGACUCGAGGACUAGGUCAUCUCAAGGCUAAAGCAUCAGCUGAUUGGAGUGGGGAAGUGAAAAAUGCUAACAAAGAGGAUGAAAGACAUGUGGUCAAAACUCUCACACAUGAGUGUACAUGUCUGCAAUGGCAGCACACGGGCAAGCCUUGCGACCAUGCACUAGCCUUCAUAAAUGUCUUGCAAGCUCGCAACUUUGUUAACAUGGAGGACUAUGUACAUGAGUACUACUCAGUUAGCAGAUUUAGGGCAGCAUAUGAAGGUGUAAUUGAGCCCCUUACGGACAAGAAUUAA
Molecule: ribosomal RNA, 678 nt
Filed under: Triticum aestivum (bread wheat)
Lineage: Eukaryota; Viridiplantae; Streptophyta; Magnoliopsida; Poales; Poaceae
Description: partial small subunit ribosomal RNA
Source: RNAcentral